GAUGAACGCUGGCGGCGUGCCUAAUACAUGCAAGUCGAGCGAACAGACGAGGAGCUUGCUCCUCUGACGUUAGCGGCGGACGGGUGAGUAACACGUGGAUAACCUACCUAUAAGACUGGGAUAACUUCGGGAAACCUGAGCUAAUACCGGAUAAUAUAUUGAACCGCAUGGUUCAAUAGUGAAAGACGGUUUUGCUGUCACUUAUAGAUGGAUCCGCGCCGCAUUAGCUAGUUGGUAAGGUAACGGCUUACCAAGGCAACGAUGCGUAGCCGACCUGAGAGGGUGAUCGGCCACACUGGAACUGAGACACGGUCCAGACUCCUACGGGAGGCAGCAGUAGGGAAUCUUCCGCAAUGGGCGAAGGCCUGACGGAGCAACGCCGCGUGAGUGAUGAAGGUCUUCGGAUCGUAAAACUCUGUUAUUAGGGAAGAACAAAUGUGUAAGUAACUAUGCACGUCUUGACGGUACCUAAUCAGAAAGCCACGGCUAACUACGUG
RNAcentral lists this ribosomal RNA (497 nucleotides) under uncultured bacterium. RNAcentral describes it as "partial 16S ribosomal RNA". It matches the Rfam family "Bacterial small subunit ribosomal RNA", at positions 28 to 507 of the family's 1533-position model. The record is from RNAcentral.